CGUGCAUUAGACUAAUUAACAUACAGACAGUAGAUGUCACAAGAUGUUCUGUUCAGACCAAAUUUAGCCUAGGACAGCAAAAUAAUUACACAAUAACGAUUACGAUAAGUCCAGACACAUAGUCAGGCGGUUCACCCACAUACAGACCACACCCACCAUGCGGGAUAAAUAGCAAAUUAACUAUAAUGUACCAGGUUCCUGUCCUCUGCGCGAUCCAGCCCUGGUUGGUGACUCGUGAGACAGAAACCCAGAUACUCUGUAAGUAUUGUUAUUGCUUGGAGCAAAUAAACAUGAUUUGAUUGAAUGCAUUGAACUCAUGACUGUUUUCUCCCUCUGAAUAUACGAACACACGGCGAGGACAUGGCCGAGGUCUAGGACGAGAAUCCCGCCAAUCAAUUUGGUGACCCCGACGUGAUUCAAGGAGAAACGAUUGUAAGAACAAACUCGAAUACGGGGGACAAGGACGGUGACUGAUUCAGUGCAGACCGGUCAACAAAAAAGAGCCUGCACUACGUGACACAUAGUCAGGUGGUUCACCCACCUACAGACCGCACCCACCAUGCGGGAUAAAUAGCAAAUUAACUAUUGUAUCAGGUUCCUGUCCUGUGCGCGAUCCAGCCCUGGUUGGUGACUCGUGAGACAGAAACCCAGAGACUCUGUAAGUAUUGUUAUUGCUUGGAGCGAAUAAACAUGAUUUGAUUGAAUGCAUUGAACUCAUGACUGUUUUCUCCCUCUGAAUAAACGAACACACGGCGAGGACAUGGCCGAGGUCUAGGACGAGAAUCCCGCCGAACAGUCCCCAGCUACUUCAAACAAGCCAUUAUCCAACCCUUACUCAAGGAACCAAACCUGGAAUCCUCCCAUCCAAAAAACCCAUCUUCAAUAUUUUCAACAUCAGCUUUUCUCUCCCUGUUUAUAUUGGUGGAAUCAGGUGGAAUAAAAAUAACAGUCAAA
This is a long non-coding RNA of Scophthalmus maximus (turbot), 954 nucleotides long. RefSeq lists it as uncharacterized. NCBI's taxonomy places the organism in Eukaryota, Metazoa, Chordata, Actinopteri, Pleuronectiformes, Scophthalmidae. The transcript is spliced from 2 exons. The record is from RefSeq and is a predicted model, not a curated record.